UACAGAGGGGGCAAGCGUUGUUCGGAAUUACUGGGCGGAAAGGGCGCGUAGGCGGCCCGCUAAGUCGAACGUGAAAUCCCCGGGCUCAACCCGGGAACUGCGUCCGAUACUGGCAGGCUUGAAUCCGGGAGAGGGAUGCGGAAUUCCAGGUGUAGCGGUGAAAUGCGUAGAUAUCUGGAGGAACACCGGUGGCGAAGGCGGCAUCCUGGACCGGUAUUGACGCUGAGGCGCGAAAGCCAGGGGAGCAAACGGG
This 253-nucleotide ribosomal RNA is filed under the name uncultured bacterium. Its description in RNAcentral is "partial 16S ribosomal RNA". It matches the Rfam family "Bacterial small subunit ribosomal RNA", at positions 524 to 776 of the family's 1533-position model. The record is from RNAcentral.